GUUCCCUUUUCCUGCUUUCCAGCCUUCCAGUUCCUGUCCCUCCUUGCAGGCAUAAACAAAAAGAUCUGGAGUGAACAUAUACAGUUGUGUUAACUAUGAAUUUAUCAAGUGGUUACUGUGCUGAAGAAUGUCCUGAAUGCUUGGGAAAAGAGAGGAAGGACCCUCUGCUUCUAGACUCUCUUCACAGAGGUGAUGAAGCAUGAAGAAGCAGGGGACUCAGAAGGCUGCCAACAGCCCAGAUGACCUGGGACAAGUCUGCUCAGCUCUUCUGAGUGUCAGUGUUCCUGCCUGUUGGUUAAAGGAUUUCUACUACAGUGGAACUUUAUUCGUUCACAAGGGCUGGUUGUAACUCACG
This 355-nucleotide long non-coding RNA is filed under the name Heterocephalus glaber (naked mole-rat). Its description in RNAcentral is "lncRNA (ENSHGLG00000037699.1)". The record is from RNAcentral. Lineage: Eukaryota; Metazoa; Chordata; Mammalia; Rodentia; Bathyergidae.